RNAcentral lists this ribosomal RNA (482 nucleotides) under uncultured bacterium. RNAcentral's name for it is "partial 16S ribosomal RNA". It matches the Rfam family "Bacterial small subunit ribosomal RNA", at positions 30 to 507 of the family's 1533-position model. The record is from RNAcentral.
AUUGAACGCUGGCGGCAUGCUUUACACAUGCCAGUCGAACGGUAACAGGCCGCAAGGUGCUGACGAGUGGCGAACGGGUGAGUAAUGCAUCGGAACGUGCCCAGUCGUGGGGGAUAACUACUCGAAAGAGUAGCUAAUACCGCAUACGAUCUAUGGAUGAAAGCGGGGGACCGUAAGGCCUCGCGCGAUUGGAGCGGCCGAUGUCAGAUUAGGUAGUUGGUGGGGUAAAGGCUCACCAAGCCAACGAUCUGUAGCUGGUCUGAGAGGACAACCAGCCACACUGGGACUGAGACACGGCCCAGACCCCUACGGGAGGCAGCAGUGGGGAAUUUUGGACAAUGGGCGCAAGCCUGAUCCAGCAAUGCCGCGUGCAGGAAGAAGGCCUUCGGGUUGUAAACUGCUUUUGUACGGAACGAAACGGCUCUGGUUAAUACCCGGGGCUAAUGACGGUACCGUAAGAAUAAGCACCGGCUAACUACGUG